RNAcentral lists this ribosomal RNA (446 nucleotides) under uncultured bacterium. RNAcentral describes it as "bacterial SSU rRNA". It matches the Rfam family "Bacterial small subunit ribosomal RNA", at positions 330 to 792 of the family's 1533-position model. The record is from RNAcentral.
UCCAGACUCCUACGGGAGGCAGCAGUGGGGGAUAUUGCACAAUGGGGGGAACCCUGAUGCAGCGACGCCGCGUGGGUGAAGGAGUGCUUCGGCAUGUAAAGCCCUAUCGGCAGGGAAGAAGCAAGACGGUACCUGACUAAGAAGCCCCGGCUAACUACGUGCCAGCAGCCGCGGUAAUACGUAGGGGGCGAGCGUUAUCCGGAUUUACUGGGUGUAAAGGGAGCGCAGGCGGCACGGCAAGCCUGAUGUGAAAGCCCGCGGCCCAACCGCGGGACUGCAUUGGGAACUACCGGGCUGGAGUGCCGGAGAGGUAGGCGGAAUUCCUAGUGUAGCGGUGAAAUGCGUAGAUAUUAGGAGGAACACCAGUGGCGAAGGCGACUAUCUGGCACAUAACUGACGCUGAGGAGCGAAAGCGUGGGUAGCAAACAGGAUUAGAUACCCGAGUA